RNAcentral lists this small nuclear RNA (22 nucleotides) under Arabidopsis thaliana (thale cress). Its description in RNAcentral is "snRNA_10788". Lineage: Eukaryota; Viridiplantae; Streptophyta; Magnoliopsida; Brassicales; Brassicaceae. The record is from RNAcentral.
UGGACAUUAAAAGUGUUGUACU